RNAcentral lists this ribosomal RNA (253 nucleotides) under uncultured bacterium. RNAcentral's name for it is "partial 16S ribosomal RNA". It matches the Rfam family "Bacterial small subunit ribosomal RNA", at positions 524 to 776 of the family's 1533-position model. The record is from RNAcentral.
GACAGAGGGGGCAAGCGUUGCUCGGAAUCACUGGGCGUAAAGGGCGCGUAGGCGGUUUGGCAAGUCAGUCGUGAAAUCCCUCGGCUCAACCGAGAAACGUCGGCUGAUACUGCCGUUCUUGAGGGAUGCAGAGGAGACUGGAAUUCCCGGUGUAGCGGUGAAAUGUGUAGAGAUCGGGAGGAACACCAGUGGCGAAGGCGGGUCUCUGGGCCGCUCCUGACGCUGAGGCGCGAAAGCGUGGGGAGCAAACGGG